UCUUGGGCAAUUUGAUUUUUUUUCAUUAGUUUCAUCUAUCAUAAAAAGUUCCACCACACCAGAUGAAGCUAAAUAUUUAUGCAUGUAGAUCUAAUUGUUUUUAAUCACUUCUGUAUGCAUUUUAUGUACUUCUACUAUAUUCUUUUCUCACACACCCAUAAUAACGUUUUCUUUUGCAGUAUUUUCAACUUUUUUUCCUGUUUUACGGUGUUUUUAAAAACUGAAUUUUAUCUUUUUCGAUCAUCAGUGUUUCAAAAUAGGGCUAUACAUAAGUACAAGAAAAUGAUGCGACAUUCGUCGGUCUUACUAAUAAUAUUGAUUGCAUAUUCGGCGUAUUGUUUUGGAGUGAUGAUCCCUUAUGGAAAUCAUACUAAGAUCGAAUUCUCCGCAAGAGAAAACCUCACUAUUACUUGUACUGGUACCGAUGAAAUCACAUGGAAGCGUCCGUAUAAUGAUAGAGGUGGUUACACAGUAAUUGCGGAAACCCCACGCAGAAAAAUCCUUCAAAUAAAAAACGCUACAGUUUUUAAUUCUGGGAAUUACAAAUGUUUUUCAAUAAAGAACAGCAGCGACUUCGCGAUGAUUUUUCUUUUUGGUGAUGACUCCGCAUUCGCAGCUGUGAGAAGGAGCAGUUCUUCCAUAUCCUCAUUUCCUGGCUACAUAUUUCAUUGAUGAAUGAAGAAAACGGUCUUGAUUUAUUAACACCUUUAACUAGCUGAUAAUCUAAAACUAUGACAUAAUCGCACACGUUAAUUAACGUAGGUCUAAUAAUAAAUAUUUGGGCGUAAAAUAA
Long non-coding RNA from Planococcus citri (citrus mealybug), 793 nucleotides. RefSeq lists it as uncharacterized. The transcript is spliced from 5 exons. Lineage: Eukaryota; Metazoa; Arthropoda; Insecta; Hemiptera; Pseudococcidae. The record is from RefSeq and is a predicted model, not a curated record.